UUUUUCCGUUGAAAAGUUACUAUUUGAACAGCUGCUAAACAGCUGCUGCUCAAAACCGUUUGCACAACAGUGUCGCCGAUUGGUUAAUCUGAAAUUCAUAUUUGUGGUUUGGUGCAUAUAUUUUAUUAUUUAAGUGUUAUAAUUAUUGCGUACCAUGUGCUGAUAUUGCCAUAAGCGAUUGCAAUGCGUGAGUAGGGAAUGAUUCAUCGUUUAUAUGACCAUUUUAUGGCGGGUGAAUAAUGGAUUAUAAAUUAAUAAAUUAUAUCCACUGCAUGCAGUAUUAGCGAUUCCUGUGGCUCACAUCAUUUCUUAACACCUGAAAGAAACACUUUCCUCCGCAAAUAUUAAAAAAAAUGGCAGUCCAUCAAAUUAUUAUUAUUGUCGACAGCAACUGGAUGAUUCGAAUUAACAAAACAAACAUUUUGUUCACAAUCGGGUUGGUCUGGUUGAUCUUAAUUGAUGCAGUGCCACAGUCGUAGUAAAUAAUCUGAGUUUACCGUAGAUCAUAUGUGAUUAGGGCGUGUAAUGUAGUCUAACGAUUACAGGUUAGAAUACACAAAGGUAUUCAUUAUACAGCCGGAAAUCGCCGUUGGCGCUAAGGUAAAGCCUCAUCUGAGACAAGUCUGACAAUCCAACUCGUGGCAAGCGUAUAGAAGCCAUUUAUUCAAAUUACCAAUGGCGCAAUACGUAAAAUCCCUGAACUGUUGCUAUGAUGACUUCGAGGUAUUGCGCCACGUCCACUCAAAUAAUAACAACCGGUUUGGAUGGAGUGCCCUAGGAAAGUCUAUGAAGUAUAGUUUACUUUUGAUUAGCUCAAGCACUAUUAUUAUUUUUUCGCUAUAAAAGGUAAUAUGUUUUUAUAAUUAAAGAGAUGUUGCUCUACAAGUGCGCGUCCCUUGUGGUACUUACUUUGUACAAUAAAACAUGAAUGCUUCAAAAUUUAACACCAUUUUUCUGUUUUGUUACAUUGUCAGAUUUGUUUAAGCAUUAGUAAAUUUACUUGCAAUUUUUGCAGCAACUUGGACGAUUUCGUUUCGAUUUUGAAAUCAAAUUCUUGAUUGAAUCCUGUAGGACCACAUAACCAUUAAACAUAUUUUCUAAUUUCAGCUCACCCGACUCGUGGGUAGUGGGUUAAUCCAGGGCGACACAUUUUGAUUGCUUUCCGGAUGGGCUGCUGACCCCUACGAUUCAUAGAAAACUCUGAUUAUAACUUGGUGGCCAAACAACAGUUUUUGAAAUAGUAUAGGGGAUUUGCGCCAACUAUUGAGAAUUCUUCGAGCACUACAAAAUUCAAGAAUAAAUUAGAAAACACAAAAAAUAAUAUGCAAUAUUUUCUAAUAUCUCCAUUUGACACCUUUUUUUUACAAACCGCAAGGUUAGAAUUGCUCAAUAGUUUCUUUCACCUUUCUCUUAACCUUGCGGCAAAUUUCACAGUCCAACCUUGUCCAUCUGGGCAUUUUAAAAAGUCAAUGUCUUAAGAAUGAGGUUAACGAAUGAUUCAAGGGCUUGGUCCUGUAAUGUCAAACUUGCACAACACUGGAUCAAACUUGACACGACAUUCGUCUAAUCACAUAAACCUAAGUUUAUUCUUGGCUGUAAAUGAAAA
This 1606-nucleotide long non-coding RNA is filed under the name Daphnia pulex (common water flea). RNAcentral's name for it is "uncharacterized LOC124199501". Lineage: Eukaryota; Metazoa; Arthropoda; Branchiopoda; Diplostraca; Daphniidae. The record is from RNAcentral.